CACAUAGCAACAAUUUAAAUCUUUCUUUUUUCGUGAAUACUGCCUUCGAAACCUAUGAUACCUGAUUUACUGGUCAUUUUAUGUUUAUGAAGAUUCGUCGUAUUUAUGCAACAUAAAGAAUGCCUGAUGAAAUGAAAAUCUCUUAGCCAAGUUCAUGCUGCUGUUAGCUUGGCCAAAGUGCGUAAACUUCUACAUUUGAUAGCCCUGAAACUUCUUCUUAAACUUAAUUUUGCUCAAACAGGCUGUCAAAGGUGCUGAUAACUAGCAAAUUGGAGGAGUUAAGGCUGUCUCAUUUUCAUUUUACUUGGUUAACAAGAUACCAGGACAGAAGAUUGAGACUGGUCACCAGGAUACAGUUCAUGAUGUGGCAAUGGACUACUAUGGCAAGUGUCUUGCAACAGCUUUUUCAAAUAACACCAUUAAGAUAAUUGGUGUUAGUAAUUCAAACUCGCAGCCUCUUGCAACUUUAAGCGGUCACCAAGGACCGGUAUGGCAAGUAGCAUUGACGCACCCCAAGUUAGGGUCCAUUGUUGCGUCAUGCUCCUAUGAUGAAAAAGUCAUAAUAUGGAGGGAAGGGAAUCAGAAUGAGUGGAGCCAGGCCCAUCUUUUCGGUGACCAUAAAGCUUCUGUGAAUUCUAUUGCAUGGGCUCCUCAUGAGCUGGGCCUUUGUUUGGCAUGUGGAUCCUCAGAUGGGAACAUAUCAAUUUUUACUGCGAGGUCUGAUAAUAGUUGGGAUACAUCCCAGAUUGACCAGGCUCACCCGGUUGGCGUUACCUCCGUCUCGUGGGCACCAUCAACAGCUCCCGGUGCUCUUGUAGGUUCUGGUGUGUUCGAUCCUGUUCAGAAGCUUGCCUCUGGAGGAUGUGAUAAUGCGGUGAAAGUGUGGAAGCUUUAUAACAGAAUCUGGAAGAUGGACUGAUUCCCAGCUCUUCAAAUGCAUACCGAUUGGGUAAGAGAUGUUGCAUGGGCACCCAAUUUGGGACUCCCAAAGUCAACAAUUGCUAGUGCUUCUCAAGAUGGAAGAGUUAUCAUAUGGACCGUGAUGAAGGAGGGUGAUCAAUGGGAGGACAAAGUUUUGAAGGAUUUCAAGACCCCUGUUUGGAGAGUCUCAUGGUCACUGACAGGAAACAUACUUGUCGUGGCAGAUGGCAGUAACAACGUGACAUUGUGGAAGGAAGAAGUGGAUGGAGAGUGGCAGCAGGUGACAACAGUUUGACUUUUGACUUCUUCUCAGCAGUAUGAUAUCUCUUGUAAUUUCACAUAUAUGGUUCUAAUGUGCUUGGACUCCUCCACGUAAGUCUUUUGACUUGUUAUGGACCAGAUCAUGAUGACGAGCCUUUGAGCUGAAUACUAACUAGAUAAGACACUUUCUGCUUCUACUCUUGCUCACCGAAUAGUUUUUCAUUUCAAUUUCUGGCCAUUGUCAUAAGUUUUGCUUGCGGAGAACAGCUUCAUUCCUGUCACCCAUCAACUACUGCAUGUGUGGAAAAAAAAAACACAUUUCCUGCUAGUCUGGGCAUUGAUAUGGUUUGGUGUUGCUUAGUAAUUUUCACGGGAGAAUUAUUGAGAUGACAGGGAGGAUAAAAGUAAUAGUUGCAUUAUGGGACUCCCUAUUCCAACUCACGGGCCUUCUCUUUGGGCCCAUGACGCAAUCCUAUGAUUUGUUUUUAGGCAGCCCAACAAACAAUUUGAGGAAGGUAAGUUGGGCUGAAUGACUGACAAAUAGUUUCAGGAAAUGACAACUAUGCGAAGUUGUAAAAAGAGAAGCUGAAGGAGUCCCUCAUUGUCUUCUUGCAGGCAUAUCAACGGUAAGCAUGGAAUUAAAGAGAGUAAUGAUUGAGAAAAUGUGGCCACAUUCUGCGGGCAAGAGGCACGUGCAGUGUGUGCCUUUCACGUGACGAUCCUACACUUGCAGCCAGGUUGGUUGCGGACAUGCAUGCAUGCAUACUGUUGGCACACGUGUGGGGAAGUAUCAAAGAGAAGACGGUGAGGCAAAUGACCUAUGGCGAGAGCUCGGAACGGGAUUCCAAUUUCGCUUCCGGCUAUGACUACGAGCUACUUACUUAGGUUGUGUUUGGAUUGCAUUUUUCAUGAAAAAAUUACUGUAGCGAUUUGACGUAUGUGAGGGAAAAAGAUAAUAAGGAAAUGUAAUCACGGAAAAUGACGUAAUUUUUCGACGAAAAAUCGCAAUCCAAACAAGGCCUAAUUUAUUUGCCCGCCCGUCCAUGAAUGUAAUAAUAAUGUACUCAGGCUGUAACAACUAGCAACUUGAAUUUGGACCACCGCUUGCUUGGUAGUUGGUACGUGGCCGGCCAAUCUGACUUGGAACUCAAACCUAAUAAACUGGCAAGAGGUGUGGUAUCUAAUUCUAAGCAGCACAUACUCUAUAAGAUAACUAAUUCUAUAAUGAGGUAUUUGCAUCUGUGAACGGUUCAUAUAAAGUCCGCCUCACACUCACAACGGGCAUAGCUCUUCUACACUGUAUGCGUGUCAUUUGAGGCAAUGUCAUACAUUAACUUUGAUAAAAAUUGACAAAAGAGAGACCAAAACUCAGGAAAACUAUUUUUUUACGCUAAAGGUUGUAUUCGUUCCCAUUUUCUUUAAUAACUAACAAAUUUAAAGAGAGGGUCCCAAAUGCGACUUUGUGCGACCCCUAUCUAUCUCAACAUUGAUAAGAAAUGGUCCUAUAACUCGAUUUGAAUCUACUAAAGCAACGUUAAUAAAGGGCCUAUGUUUUAUGUUGUUAUCAAAGUUUUAGUUAAAUAUAUUAAACAACUGCACAUAAUGAUUAGUGGCAGAUGUUUUCUAGAUAAUCAAAGUUCUUCUACAUGGCAUAUAAAAUGUUAAAGCACUCGAACAGGAAAUAAAACGAAAUGAAACAAAAGAACUUAUCACGAUAAUCGGUUUCCCAUUUGUUAAGUCUGAUAUCAUUGAUCUUCAUCUUGAAAUUUCUCCCUACCUCACUUAAACAAAACAAAACAAAAGAAACUACUAUAUAAUGGUCCUAAUGGUAUAAAGAUGAAGAGGAGCAAGCUUUUGUUCAAUCCACACAAUUUUCCUCGGAGAAAAUCAUGCUUAUUAACAAUUAAUUAGGUAAAUCAAUUAGCAAGGAUCAAUAACCGCUCCAACCAAAAAAGAAAAAGAAAAAGAAACUUCCAGAGAUGCGGAAACUGAUUAGACAAUGAAAAAACAAAGCCAACGAAAGUUGUUUUUAGCCAACAAACUAAACCACCUCUGCACCAAGCAUCUUCUAACCAUCUGGACCUUCUUUAUCACCUUCUUCUCCACUAUUUUCUUCAGUUUCUUCUCCUCUAAUCCCUGUAGACUCUUCUUCCCUGCCAAUGGCGAGGCUUUUAGCAGAAUCCUUUUUAAGUUUCAAUAUCAAUGACUCAAUCAUUUGAAGUUCAAAAUCUAUAUCAAAAUCAGCCAUUGUGGAGUCCACCUCAUAUCCACCGAACACCUUCUUUAGUAGGGCCUUUCCUUCGUCAAUUUCUAGCUUGAUUCCAGCCAACAAGCCACCAUGUUCUAAAACCGACAACAAGAACAAGAGAUCAGAAAAUUUCUUUGUCAUGGUUUCAUCAAGAUCUUCAAACAAACCUUUGACAGAAUAGGGAAUAUGCUGGGCAAGAUUUAGCUUUUGAAAUGUGGAAGGAUGAACCACAAUCUUUACACAACCAGGCUCUGUCCUCCUAUUUAGGAGGACUUUAAUGUCCAUUGGAAUGAGACACUUUUUUACCAAAGACCUUCCCACUUCUUCAAGUGUGAGAGAUUCUCUGAGAACCUUGCUAUACCAGGCCGCUAAACCUAUUAUCCGAGCUCUCAUUGUAAGGUUUUGAGGAUUUUAGAUGAGGUUUGAGUAUUUUUUGGUUGAUUUGUAGGGUUUAGUGUUCUUCGUAUGGUGAAAGGAUGAAGUGGAGAAAAAGCAUAAUGCCCAUGCGCCAAGUAGUUGGAAGAAAACCUAAAUAUGCCAUAGUUGAAGUCCAUCAUGGACUGAUAUGUCAGAUUGGAUUUGAGCGGAGAAAGAAAGAAAAAGACUCCGCUUUGCUAUGCAUUGUUUCCAUUAGCUAAAACACUAGGGGGCAGGGGCUGUUGCGUGCCAGGUCUAGAGGAGAAAGAGGCGUACUGCGUACGAACGAGCGAAGAGUAUUUAAAAGCGGGAUUCAAGUGUGGGACCCACCUCUACCAGCGCGUACUUGAGUGUGGGACGCUCUUCGAGGAACUUUUUCCUUACUCGGCUAAACCUACCGCUAAGUGCUAUACUAUACCUGGUACAAAUUUCUGCUGACUAGUGGGUAAAUCAUUUUUACGUCCCUGGUAAUUUGGUGCUCUCUAGUUGAUAGUACCACACAUACAUGAUCUAUUUUACCUCCAAAAAAAAUCUGUACAUAUAAUUGUAGAGAUAAUUUGAGAAACCUCCCUUAAGAUUUCUAACAAUUUCACUAGCCUCCUCUAAAUUUUAUAAAAUUAUACAAACCUCCCAUAAGGUUAUAAUUUUGAUAACAAAGUUAUUCCAAUUAGAAAAAAGUAACAUUAAAAAAGUAUUUUAAAAAAAGAGACGAAAUUUUUAUUUCAUAAAUACCCUUUAUGCAUGUAUAUAAGUCAUAUUAUUAAAAGAAUAAAAAUAAAUAAAACUUAGGAACAGUUAAUAAACACAUGUAACCACUCAAAAAGUUUACAUUUAAUAAAUUAGAUAAUACAAAUAAGCAACAAAAUUACACUAAUGAUUAUAAAAUUCAGUAAAAUAGGUUAGUCAUCUCUUUUGACUUGAUGUUUGCUAUAAUUCUUACGAUUUUAAAUAGAAAAAUUUUCAAAUUUUAUCUUUCUUUUCCCCUCAUUUCUGCCUUAUUAAUUAAAUGUGAAUAUAUAGUUCUAGAUUUAUGGUCAUCAUAAAAAUUUAAAGGGUUAAUCACAAUUAAUCCUCUUAAGGUAUACUUCAUUUCUCACUUUACCCCCUAACUUUUAAUUUUGCUCACUUAACCCCCUAUAGGACAAAAUUACCCUUCCAUUAUUUUGAUUAUUCAUUUAUCUUUUUUCCUCUCUUUUAUUUCUUUUUCUCUUUCUUCUUUCUUCUCUCUUUCAUCCUUCCUAGUAGAAAACUCCAUCUCAACGAAAAUUUUUAUCUUGAAUUUAUAAUUGCAUUUUUGGGUGAAAGUUUAAAAUGCACCAAAACUAAUUUUUAUUUUGUGUAUGAUGCCACAUGUCACAAUUUUCAAUUGAUUAUUAUUAAUCAGGUCACAAUUUCAUCUUUUGAUAUUUUCUUGAGAAUAAAAUGAGAAACUAUAAAGAAAAGAGGAAAAAUAAAAAAUUAAAAGAAUUGAAAGAAUUUGAAAAAAAUUGUAUUUUAGGAAAGUGGUUUGAAUAUUUUGUAAUCAUUUUAGGAGAAAAUAGGUCUCUGCAAUUCCUCUUUUUAAAUUUCAAUCAUUAAGAUGAAGAUUUUUUGUGGGAAAGAGAAAGAAUUAAAGAAAGAAAAAAGAGGCAAAGAAAAUAAAGGAGCACAAAAGGGGAAAGGGAAAAAAAUAAAAGAGAAAAAUAAGAGUUUAGAAUAGUAGAGGGAUAAUUUUGUCCAAUAGGGGAUAAAGUGAGACAAAAAAAUGGUUAGGGGGUAAAGUGAGAAAUGAGGUAUACUUUAGGGGGAUUAAUUGUGAUUAACCCAAAUUUAAAUUAUCAAAAAAAAUAUUUAUAAAUAUCAAAAUUUUGAUAUGGAAUACAUUGUUUGAUAUAUACUAUCAUAUUAUAGUGAAAGUAUGUGAAUUUUUUUUUAAAAUUAAUAAAUAAUUGAAUAUUUAGAAUACAUUAAUUUUUAAAAUUAAUAGGAAUGAAUAUAUAGUAUUGUUGUUAUUUUUUAUAUUUAAAUUAUUUAUAUUUAUAUAAAUUUAUAAUAAAUAAGAAAAUAGACUAUGUUAAGGCACAGACCAAAUUUUAGUUUUUAUUUUGAAAAGUACAUUUCUUUUGGUUCAGCUCGAGAAGUAUUAAAUGGUAGUAUCUUUUUGGCGCCUAGAUAAAUUACAGGUAAUGGGCCUUGGUCAAUGCUAAGGCUCUAAGUUGGGCCCAAAACAAAUCACCUGUAACGGGCCUUUUAGCAAGCUCAGAGUGCAUUAUAUUAGACGGCAGUGGCAGAAUUGUGCCAUCGCGAAGUCGGGGACAACUUGACAACGAGUGGAGGCAUUUCAGCAGAGAUCUUGGCGUCUAACUUCUUCCCUCUUCGUCUCUCUAGGUUUGCCGGUCUGAAACCCACAUAUUACCUACUAGUGUUUUCGAUAAUCGAUUUGAAUAGCCUUUUUUUUUUGGUUGUUUUCCUGAUUGGUUUCUGUGCUUGAGGGUUCUAUCAACUUGAGUUUGAGUGUAAUGUCUAGUGUCUAGAAAUCUAGAAAUUCUAUCAAUCUAAGUCACUGAUGGUUCAAGGGAAUUGGGAAAAGGUACAAACUAGAAAAACCUUUAUUUUUGGUUCGGUUUGUUGUUCCUUACCACUUGUUGAGCAGAUUGACUUGGCCAAAAGUCACAAAUUUGGUUAGGCUAAUUACUGAUCAUCGAUGAAAAGAUUAUUGGAUGAUGUCUUAGGAAAGCGUACUUGAUACCCUUUUUCCCCUUCCUUUUCUUGCUUGAUAUGCUUGUAGUUGUAAUUUUCAGUUAGAUGAUUAGGAUACCAAUUUGAUUUAAAGGAGGUCUGGGAAAUACUAAGAUGGUGCUGUCAUGUCUUGUAGAAUUUUUUUUUUCAAACCUUCUUGGAUGAAAGGGUACACCAAUAUCUUAUCUUAUUUUUAAAGUGCAUUAACAUGGUUUUGAACUGAAUUGUGAGUUACUUAUUGAUGUCUGUUUGACAUGUAUGGUAAUGUUGCUUAUUGUUGCAUUUUGGGCUCAUGACAUUUCUGAAUCUCAUAUUAAAGCACGAACUAGUUAUCCAAAUUUAUGGAGUAGGGUAUUUGGAAAUUGGAUGGAAUUACAGGAUUUUCUUCUUGCAUUUUCUGCCUUUGCUUUUACUACUACAUCAACUUUAGUAGUUCUGUGGAACUAAUUUCGAUGUCCUGCGUGUUGUCAGCCUUGAGCAGUAAUUCCCACUGAGUACCUAGCAUUCUCAUUCAGACUAAGAUCAAGCUAGUACAUUGAUGUUUUUCAUUACUGUAUAGCUUGAUCAAUGAGUGGCAACGCAAUAAACUCUGACCUGUCAAUUAGUUCCUGCUUAUAAAUUCCGUCCUAUUUUCUGCUAAAUUUCUUACAUACAGUUGUGUUUCCGGUUAUGAGAAGUAAACCUGCUCUCAGUGCUGAAGAUUCAUACUAAUGUUAAGCAAUUUGUAGUUAUUGGCAGUAGAUUGACUUUUGUUGCACAUUAUCUGACAAUUUAUCAUCGUUUCCAUCCUGUAUAUU
This 7362-nucleotide long non-coding RNA is filed under the name Coffea arabica (coffee). Its description in RNAcentral is "long non-coding RNA (CARA_LNC003022)". Lineage: Eukaryota; Viridiplantae; Streptophyta; Magnoliopsida; Gentianales; Rubiaceae. The record is from RNAcentral.